GAGGAAGGUGGGGAUGACGUCAAAUCAGCACGGCCCUUACGUCCAGGGCUACACACGUGCUACAAUGGCCGGUACAGAGGGCAGCCACCACGCGAGUGGGAGCGAAUCUCGAAAGCCGGUCUCAGUUCGGAUCGAAGUCUGCAACUCGACUUCGUGAAGCUGGAAUCGCUAGUAAUCGCGCAUCAGCCAUGGCGCGGUGAAUACGUUCCCGGGCCUUGUACACACCGCCCGUCAAGCCAUGGAAGCUGGGGGCGCCUGAAGUCGGUAACCGCAAGGAACUGCCUAGGGCGAAACUAGUGACUGGGGCUAAGUCGUAACAAGGUAGCCGUAA
This 331-nucleotide ribosomal RNA is filed under the name uncultured bacterium. RNAcentral describes it as "bacterial SSU rRNA". It matches the Rfam family "Bacterial small subunit ribosomal RNA", at positions 1166 to 1505 of the family's 1533-position model. The record is from RNAcentral.